This is a non-coding RNA of Paramuricea clavata, 273 nucleotides long. The record is from the annotation of a GenBank genome assembly. Lineage: Eukaryota; Metazoa; Cnidaria; Anthozoa; Malacalcyonacea; Plexauridae.
AAACAUAAAUACAUCUAAUCACAUCUAAUUAGCCUUUCUCACGAUGACGAAUAUCCGCCAUUUUUGGGUGGCAUCCAAUUCUCGUUAACCAAUGCAGACAAUUAAAACAAUGUGAAAAGCAAUUUUUCAAAAUAAACUAACCAUUUACAAAUCAAAUUUACCAUCAUUCGUCCAAAAAAUUAUAAAAAGUCGCUGUUAUGUGGACUUAUCUCGCAGACUUCGGCUGAAAUGCCACCCAAAAAUGGCGGCGUGAGAAAGGCUAAAUUAGCCUAA